AUCUUGUCCGAAACAUUCAAUAAAAAGCCUCUGUUCUUAUCAGCUUAAUAUCUGAUACGGGUCCUAUUUGGACCCAAGAUAUUAAACUUAUUUUUGGAAUGCGGCGGAGUGCUUGAAGCUUGCUUCACCUCCGCCACGGGUUGGCCCGGUAUUGCACUAUCUCCGGGAUCGGCCCACUCACC
RNAcentral lists this small nuclear RNA (182 nucleotides) under Rhipicephalus sanguineus (brown dog tick). Its description in RNAcentral is "U2 spliceosomal RNA". It matches the Rfam family "U2 spliceosomal RNA". From Rfam's summary of the family: U2 is a small nuclear RNA (snRNA) component of the spliceosome (involved in pre-mRNA splicing). Complementary binding between U2 snRNA (in an area lying towards the 5' end but 3' to hairpin I) and the branchpoint sequence (BPS) of the intron results the bulging out of an unpaired adenosine, on the BPS, which initiates a nucleophilic attack at the intronic 5' splice site, thus starting the first of two transesterification reactions that mediate splicing. Lineage: Eukaryota; Metazoa; Arthropoda; Arachnida; Ixodida; Ixodidae. The record is from Rfam by way of RNAcentral.